AAUGGGGGCAACCCUGAUCCAGCCAUGCCGCGUGCGGGAAGAAGGCCUUCGGGUUGUAAACCGCUUUUGUUCGGGAAGAAAUCCUCUGGGCUAAUACCCCGGGGGGAUGACGGUACCGGAAGAAUAAGCACCGGCUAACUACGUGCCAGCAGCCGCGGUAAUACGUAGGGUGCGAGCGUUAAUCGGAAUUACUGGGCGUAAAGCGUGCGCAGGCGGUUGUGCAAGACAGAUGUGAAAUCCCCGGGCUUAACCUGGGAACUGCAUUUGUGACUGCACGGCUAGAGUGCGGCAGAGGGGAGUGGAAUUCCGCGUGUAGCAGUGAAAUGCGUAGAUAUGCGGAGGAACACCGAUGGCGAAGGCAGCUCCCUGGGCCUGCACUGACGCUCAUGCACGAAAGCGUGGGGAGCAAACAGGAUU
Molecule: ribosomal RNA, 417 nt
Filed under: uncultured beta proteobacterium
Lineage: Bacteria; Pseudomonadati; Pseudomonadota; Betaproteobacteria
Description: bacterial SSU rRNA
Rfam family: Bacterial small subunit ribosomal RNA
Source: RNAcentral